Molecule: transfer RNA, 57 nt
Organism: Ovis aries (sheep)
Lineage: Eukaryota; Metazoa; Chordata; Mammalia; Artiodactyla; Bovidae
Rfam family: tRNA
About the family: Transfer RNA (tRNA) molecules are approximately 80 nucleotides in length. Their secondary structure includes four short double-helical elements and three loops (D, anti-codon, and T loops). Further hydrogen bonds mediate the characteristic L-shaped molecular structure. tRNAs have two regions of fundamental functional importance: the anti-codon, which is responsible for specific mRNA codon recognition, and the 3' end, to which the tRNAs corresponding amino acid is attached (by aminoacyl-tRNA synthetases). tRNAs cope with the degeneracy of the genetic code in two manners: having more than one tRNA (with a specific anti-codon) for a particular amino acid; and 'wobble' base-pairing, i.e. permitting non-standard base-pairing at the 3rd anti-codon position.
Source: Rfam
UGGCUCAGAGGGUAAAGCGUCUGCCUGCAGUGCAGGAGACCCAGGUUUGAUCCCUGG